GGAAUAUUGCGCAAUGGAGGAAACUCUGACGCAGUGACGCCGCGUGCAGGAAGAAGGUUUUCGGAUUGUAAACUGCUUUAGACAGGGAAGAAAAAGGACAGUACCUGUAGAAUAAGCUACGGCUAACUACGUGCCAGCAGCCGCGGUAAUACGUAGGGAGCGAGCGUUAUCCGGAUUUAUUGGGUGUAAAGGGUGCGUAGACGGGAUAGCAAGUUGGCUGUGAAAUCCCUCGGCUUAACUGAGGAACUGCAACCAAAACUACUAUUCUUGAGUGCUGGAGAGGAAAGUGGAAUUCCUAGUGUAGCGGUGAAAUGCGUAGAUAUUAGGAGGAACACCAGUGGCGAAGGCGACUUUCUGGACAGUAACUGACGUUGAGGCACGAAAGUGUGGGGAGCAAACA
RNAcentral lists this ribosomal RNA (400 nucleotides) under uncultured bacterium. Its description in RNAcentral is "bacterial SSU rRNA". It matches the Rfam family "Bacterial small subunit ribosomal RNA", at positions 358 to 774 of the family's 1533-position model. The record is from RNAcentral.